UUUAAGUGCAACCAUGAGUUUUCGUGUCCAUCUUUGAUUGUCCGUCUUAUUUAAUUUUUUUUAUAAUUAGUAUUUUUGUUGUUAUGAGAUGAUAAAACAUGAAUAGUACUUUAUGCGUGACUUAUGUUUUAAAAUUUUUUUAAAUAAGAUAGAUGAUUAAAGUUAAGUACGGAAAAGCAUAGCUGCAUUUAAA
Oryza glumipatula is the source of this 193-nucleotide non-coding RNA. The record is from Rfam. Lineage: Eukaryota; Viridiplantae; Streptophyta; Magnoliopsida; Poales; Poaceae.